Molecule: ribosomal RNA, 385 nt
Filed under: uncultured bacterium
Lineage: Bacteria
Description: bacterial SSU rRNA
Rfam family: Bacterial small subunit ribosomal RNA
Source: RNAcentral
AUUGAACGCUGGCGGCAUGCCUUACACAUGCAAGUCGAACGGUAACGGGCCUUCGGGCGCCGACGAGUGGCGAACGGGUGAGUAAUGCAUCGGAACGUACCUUUCAGUGGGGGAUAACGUAGCGAAAGUUACGCUAAUACCGCAUAUUCUGUGAGCAGGAAAGCAGGGGAUCGCAAGACCUUGCGCUGAUUGAGCGGCCGAUGUCAGAUUAGCUAGUUGGUGAGGUAAAGGCUCACCAAGGCGACGAUAUGUAGCGGGUCUGAGAGGAUGAUCCGCCACACUGGGACUGAGACACGGCCCAGACUCCUACGGGAGGCAGCAGUGGGGAAUUUUGGACAAUGGGCGAAAGCCUGAUCCAGCCAUGCCGCGUGAGUGAAGAAGGCCU